UUCUAGAUUUCUGGGGUCAUAACAUAAAAAGUAAGAUGAACAUUUGGAGAAACGCUGUUUACCUGUUUAUUGAACCUGUAACAUGAAUAAAGAUUCAGGCGAACAGUUUAAAGUGGGUCCAGUUUCUUUGCUCUUGCAGAACAGUUCUGAUCAGACAAAUGUUACUGAUGCUCAUCAGUCCAAUAAUGGUCAUGUGCUGUAACCAUGGCGACAUGGACCUCACUCUCUUUCUAACAGGAGAAAGAUCUAGAAAAUUCUUUACCCAAACAACUGCGAUAGACAGAGAUAGGACAUUUUACAGCUGGGCUAAAAAUUUAGAUUGAACUUUUCCCAAACUAUGUUUGGGAAAACGUUUAUUUACCGUCCCUGUGUGUUUCUGUCAAGUUUUAUAUUAUUGUACUAAUUUUUUAAUAUUAGUUUUACUAAUUUUUAAUCACCAUCAAACUGAGAUGAGCAUAAUAAUCAUACACGACAGAGUUAAAGUGACAUUUUCAAUAUGUUUGUAAGAAGGCAGAGCGACAUGGAGGAGAAAGAUAGAAAGAAGGCAAAGAAAGCAGAGGCAAAAGAAAUGAAAAACAGGGAGAAUAAAGAAGAAAAGGAAAAGAAGAACAGACGAAAGCAAGAAGAAAAGGAAAGACUUAAGAAAGAAGGAAGAAGAAGAAAGAGAAAAGAAGAGAAGAGAAAAGAAAGGAAAGAUGAGCGAAAAGGAAGAUGAAGAAGAAAAAAAGAAGAAAGAAAAAGAGGAAGAAAAGAAAAUGACAGGGAAACAACCAAUCUCACCAAUCGUCA
Molecule: long non-coding RNA, 789 nt
Organism: Betta splendens (Siamese fighting fish)
Lineage: Eukaryota; Metazoa; Chordata; Actinopteri; Anabantiformes; Osphronemidae
Exons: 2
Source: RefSeq, a predicted model, not a curated record